AUGAGUAGUUUAAGGAAAACGAUAGGUUGUGGUUCUAUAAAUAGAUUAUUAAUUGCUCUCAUUAGU
Molecule: transfer RNA, 66 nt
Filed under: Unio crassus
Lineage: Eukaryota; Metazoa; Mollusca; Bivalvia; Unionida; Unionidae
Description: tRNA-His
Source: RNAcentral